GGGGACCAUGGACCUCAUGUGUUCAGAGGGGAGAAGUAAAAAGCUUCCCUUGUAAUUCCAGGACUGUCUCUCCCUGGAAUGCCAAACCGCUGGGUUUCACCUGACGCUGUGGUAGGUGAUGCCGUAUGGAAAUGAGGACCCGUGUUCCACAUAUCUGAGCCACUACCCGUCUCCCUCCAGGGCCGGCCGUGGCUGAGCCCUCCUGAUUUCGCUGGGUGGCCAGCCUGGGGAUCUGUAAGCCCAGUGACGUCCUCGGUCUCGGCCCCCCUCCCCGUGGGGACAGGAGGUGGCUUCAGGAGGCUGAGGAUGCAUGCCUGAGUGAAGCCGACUUGUGACUGUGGUUCUGUCUAAGGGCCUCCCCGGGUGUUAGAUGUCAGUAAGUGACACCUGUGUGUGGAUCUCAUGUGAUGAGAGAAACAGUGGGCGAAACCAAAGCUUGUGGAGUCUGCGGGUUCUGGACUUGGGGAUGUGUGCGCCUGUGUACUUGGUGAGGGGUGUGAUGUCUGGAAUGAGUGUGCACGUGUGUCACGUUUGUGCGUGUGUGGUUAGUGUAUUUAGCGGGUGUGUGUGGAGUGAGCAUGUUCAUGCGUGUGUCGUGUAUUUGAGGGCGUGUGGAGUGUGUACACGCAUGACAUUUGGUGAGUGUAUUCGAGGGUGUGUAUGGAGCACAUAGAUGCGUUUGCCUGUAUAGUAUUGGGUGAAGGGGUGGCGUGUGUGGAGCAAGCAUGCACACGUGUGUGCUGUGUGUGGGGUUUCUACCUGGUCCUCCCCUGAGCCUGCUCCUGGGCCCUGCUGUCCUGGCAGCUUUAGAGUUUGGUGUGUCUUUGGUUCCGGAAGAUUCUGGAACCGGAUUCUGAAGCUGUGACCACAAACUUGCAGCCCUGGAGGACGCUGGCCCGUGGAGCCGGCACGAUGAUCUCGGUGCUGGCCUCUCCCUGGGCUGGGCUCUGUCUGCAGCAGAGUAUGUCCGAUGACUGAGAUGUGCGGGUCUGUGGCUCCCCAGCCUCGAGUCGGCCCUCGGUUCUGUCCCACCUCUGUUUUUCUUGCUGAGGGGCUCUGGGAAGCAGUGCCUGGGAUGACGUUUUCACCCCGCGUUUGCUUUGCCAGCUGCCUAGGUGCUGGUUGCAUGAGCCCUGCUGCCGUCCUGGGUGGACGGGUCUGGCACAGGGUACGUCUCUGAGCACUUGCUGGAAUGCAGAUUUAGGAUGUGCCAGAGGCGAGUGGCUUUUUUUUUAGGAAGUUUUUUUUUUUUAGAUUUUUUUUUUUAGGAGGUGGCUUUUUUUUUAGGAGGUGUCAGAGGUGAGUGUGCCCCCGGGGUCCAGUCCCUUGAACCCCAGCUCUCCUGGUGAGACGAAAGGUUCUUUAGAGUGCCAUAAUCAUGUCCUCCUGGGCAGGCAGUUUCACCAAAUGUGCUUUGUGAGUAAUGGAUUCUUCCAGACAUGGGCGUGUUGCUGACACCCGCAUGGUGGCCCUUCCUGUCUCUGAUAAGCUGACCCAGAGAGGGUCCUCAGUUGCAGAUGGGUCUGUGGCCCCCUUGGCUCUUGGGUUCAUGUCAGUGGCUGGGCCGCCUGGUGCCUCCUGAAGAGAAGCCACUGGCCUUUACCUUAGAUGUUCACAUCCAAACCAGCUCCAGAGUUAGUGAUGAUAACUCCUAGCCCAGUUGGAGACUCCUUAGUUCAGCUUGGCACUUAAGCUCGUAAAACAGCAUUUCUGUUCUGGGUCUUCCUUCAGAAUUGAGUUGUAUUCCAGGGAAGGGAGCGGAGGAGCCUUGAGGUCGGCUGCAGCCUCCUGUGCCUCCCACUCGAGCUGAAGGCCAUCUCUCUCCUGGGCUUCUCCCUGUCGCGUUCCCUGGUGAUGUGCUUUCUUUGCAGAGGUUGGCAACGGCUCGUUCCCUGGACUUCCUUGUGCCCCGUGCUUGACUCCUGUUCAUUGAAUGCCGUUAGGGUCUGGCCAUCGCUGGCUUUGCUCUCCUUUAGCACCUUGUAGAUGUCCACACGUCCUUCCACCCUCGCACCCCGUACACGGCGCAGCACUACCCCGGCCAGCGGCUGUGCUUUGCUGCAGGUCCCUUGCUGUAGCAGGGAGGGGACCCCGACCCCCUGCCGCGUCUGGCCACUGACAUCAGUAGAGGCUCGGCUGCCGUGAGGGAUACCUGUCAUGGGAAGACUGGCCUCCAUGCAGAUUCACAGAGGAAGGUGGUUCUCACAGAGAAGUCAGUGGCUUUUUUCUACCUUAACGCUGUAGCAAACGCCGUCUUAUCUUUCACCACCAAUUUAUGUUUCUUAACACCACACCCAUGGAGCAAAGUGCUGGUGAUGUUUGAACUGUAGCCUGGGGCUCUCGCUCCCAUGGGACUCCUUAGGGAAUUUCCUAGCAGGAUCAUGUGUGUGCCCUUGUAGGGAGUUGUGUCUGCCAGACACAUCCCAUUGUGUGGUAAGAAUGGCUGAGGUCACAGGCUCUGCCUGAUGAGUGCCACUCACAGCUGCUGUCCACGCAGGCCCAUGCUUGGGAUCGGCUGCCUUCUUGUCAGUGCUGCUUUGACUAAUUGCCUGAGGCACCGUCAGAGUGACUUGCUAUUUUUAGAAGCUAAUUCAGGCUUCAGAUGCCAUCUAGGUAAUGAGGAGAGAGUCCAGGAAAGCUGUAUCUGAGCUCUAGCAGAGGCGGACUCUUCCGUCCCAGCUGUCACUGCGUUUACACUCAGAGGAGCACACGGUCGGAGGUGUGGCUCAGGUGUCAGGGCUGUGCUGUUCCAUGUACCCACAGCAGCAGCCUGGCGUGACCAGAACUCAGACACGCUCAGGCACAAAUCAGCCUCUUGGGAGAGCUGCUUACCCGCAGAAUUCUUUUGUCAUUAAGCGGUUGAUGUCAUUCUUUGAAUGAGUGACAGUAAUUCCCCACCUCAGGGUUGGCUGCAGGGGAGAUUCAGUUGGAAAAAUAACCCAUGAGUCUUUGUGCCUCUGGGAGUCCUGGUGCCCCACCCACGUUUUCCUUCCCAUGCCCAGGAUUGUCUAAGACAAAGGGCAAGUCUUAAAGCCUUACGGCAUCUUAAGUCUUAGAUCGCAAUUAGAGAGAGACCCAGUACAGGUGGAACAGUAAAAUCCUCAGAAUUCUGCACUGGCCCUUCAAGAAGGCAGUUGUGGGCUCUUUGGACCCUUGACGGGUUUCUGUUCUCUGUCCUUCCUAAGCACAAAGACGGAAAUUCUUCCCAUUGUCUGUUUUUCUCCCCAUCUCGGCUUCUACACAAUGCAAAGUGGCCUUCUAACUAGAGCCCAUGUUCACUUUUGAAUACAUCAACCAGUUAUUUUGGGAGGAAAAGAAUCUGCCAAAGAAACGAAGUAUAGGUUGGAAUGGUUUAAUCAAGCCUGUGUUUAUUCAACAAAGUGCGCUUUUAAAUUUCAUCUGAAGUACUCAGGUGAAAAUUUCCCAGUGGAUGUUAAACUUUGGUGUAUAGACUCUCAUGUGGCUCCCAGUCUCAAGUUCACAACCCCACUUCAUGCUUUUACUCUUGGCUGAGUCCCAUGGAGGCCGGUUAGGGAAUCCUGCAGGAUCAGCUCUUGACCAGGACAGAUGGACGGACAGAUGGCUGGCUGGCUGGCUGGAGAAUACUUUGCUUAUGUCAUUCAGAGACAAGCAUUUCUUGAGUGCCUGCUGUGGGGACUCGGCCAGGUCCUGCUGAUGGUGCAGUGGUGUGAAUCCUGCCCACAGUUCCUGCCCUCAUGGAAUUUGCAGCCUAGUGAGGACUGCAAGUCAAAUAACCACAAGGUAACUGCAGGGAGAGACACCGGGGUGAUUUCUAUGAAGAGAGGACAUGGGGUGCCCCGAGAGCCCCUGACAGAGGGAACUUUGCCAUCCUAGAAACCAGGCAGCGUUUUCGUGAGGAAAUGACAUUUCCCUCUGGGUCAGAGCUGAGGAAGGUGCCUGUGUGUGUCCCGUGGCUGCUGUGACCCUGACCACACACCUGGGGCUGGAAAAUAAUACUCACUCUCGCACAGCUCUGGAGGGCAGGAGCCAUGGGCUGAGGCCACAGUGUUUGCUCCAGGAGAGUCCCUCGUGGCCCAUUCAGGUGCCCAGAGCUGCGGGCCUUGCACGCCUUGUUCCCUGGCACCGCCUCCUCCCAUAUGGGUGUGCAGCAUCCUGCUCCAGGGCCUUCAGCCUCUGCACCCCUCAUCUGCCGAUGCAAGUGGUGGCACUUAGGGCCCACCUGGGUAGUCCUCAGGAUUCACCUUUAUCACCACAUGAGAGAACAUUCUCAGGUUUCAGACAUUAGGACCAGGAUUCCUUUGGGGGCGGCUCUCCCACCCACCACUGUGCCUGAAUGUGAUGCACACAGCGUCCAGCAUAUCCAGAGGCCCCAGGAGGACCUGGGGUGGCUGGAGCUAGAGCGGGACCUGGUGUCAGAAGCAGGUGAGGCCAGGGAUUCCCGAGAAAGGCUUGACGUGUACUUGAAGUGAGCAAAGGGUUUGGAAUGACUGGAUCAGAUUAACGUUUUUUAUAGAUGGGUCUCCAGUCUGUGUGAACAGAUUGCAGGGUGCCGGGGUGGGAGCUAAGGCCCAGGCAGAGGCUUUGCAGAGUCCCAGGAGAGGGCGCUGCAGCCCAGACUGGUGUGUGGGUGGGAAGGCGGCCGAUGCAUUUCUCUGCUGUUUUUCUCCCCGCUGAGCUUGGUUCCUUGUGGAGGGCAGAUGGCAGACAUUUCGCUCUGGGACCUGAUGCCUAUGCAUCCGAAAGACAUCCCCAGGUGCCUGGGUCUAAGAACCACCGUCUGCUUUUGAGUAGAGUUUCUACAAAUGUAACAUUCACCGAUGGAUGGAAGAUGGCCACAGCUCUAAAAUCACAGGGAGCUUUAGCAGAAGAAAAUAGAAGAUCACAGCUGUCCCCGUGGGCUAAGCUGGCAGGUGACAGCCCCCUAACUUCUCAGCUCACACCUAACGGUGUCUGUGUCUGGUGAAAGCUGCUUCAGCAGGGACAGUCAGAGAGCAGCGUGGAGUGAGCUGGCUUGUGGGGUCGUCUUUUCAGUCUCCUCCUUUGGGGCCUGGGAGAAGGGAGUGGCAGAUGGCCAGGCCCCCACCACAGGUCAUCGAGGUCACCUCCAGGUGGCUGCCGUGGUGGGGUGGGGUGGGGGCAUGUUCACACCCACUCCGAAGGCACAUCCCGGCUGCUGCACACCCUUCACCUCUGCGAUGCUGGGACCACAUGCUCAGGCACAGUAGGGGGCCUUGCUGCACUCACUCAUCGGUUAGCUCUGGGAUGGUGGGUGCACCCUGGGAUGGAGUAACUGUGGCCACAUCAAGCAGUCCGCCAGCAGAACCAAGUGGCGUGUGUUCAUCAUCAAGUCCAUGGGCGGCUACUGUGGCUACCUGGCCAACACGGGGGGCUCGCGGCUGGAGCUGAUGCUGUCUACAUUUUUGAAGAGCCCGUCGACAUCAGGGAUCUGCAGUGUGGAGCACCUGACGGAGAAAAUGAAGACCACCAUCCAGAGGGGCCUUGUGCUCAGGAAAAAAAUUGACCACUGAUGAUUCCAUUUGUGUGCUGGGAAUAAGCAAAAGAAACGUUAUUUUUCAACCUGUGGCAGAGCUGAGGAAGCAAACGGAUUUUGAGUAAAUCGGAGUUUUAUUGCCUUAGCAAACCCAGCCAAUGCACAGGAUUCCCAAAGAACAGUGGUGGCUCAAGCUGCGGCCCCUCAUGAAGAUCUUGGCCAAGUACAAGGCCAGCUACGACGUGUCAGACUCAGGCCAGCUAGAGCACGUGCAGCCCUGGAGCGUCUGACCCAGUCCUGCCUGCAUGUGCCUGCAACCUGGACUCACCGUGGACCAUCUGUUUUUGUAACACUUAAGUUAUUUGUCAGCACUUUAUUAAAGUAUUAUUGACAUUAAUACCUAACCAGCAAGCACCUGUCACCGCCCAUGUGCCCCACCAGCUCCAGUGCAUGCUGUCUGUGGAUUGUGUCUCUUGCUUUCAGAUGUGUGUAUUAAAUGUUUGCCUACAACUGCAACAGUCCUCCGUUU
This is an RNA transcript of Rhinopithecus roxellana (golden snub-nosed monkey), 6002 nucleotides long. It is a transcript of the gene named ATP-dependent 6-phosphofructokinase, platelet type-like, with no coding region annotated. The transcript is spliced from 4 exons. The record is from RefSeq and is a predicted model, not a curated record. NCBI's taxonomy places the organism in Eukaryota, Metazoa, Chordata, Mammalia, Primates, Cercopithecidae.